This 465-nucleotide ribosomal RNA is filed under the name Vreelandella stevensii. Its description in RNAcentral is "partial 16S ribosomal RNA". It matches the Rfam family "Bacterial small subunit ribosomal RNA", at positions 338 to 795 of the family's 1533-position model. The record is from RNAcentral. Lineage: Bacteria; Pseudomonadati; Pseudomonadota; Gammaproteobacteria; Oceanospirillales; Halomonadaceae.
CCUACGGGGGGCUGCAGUGGGGAAUAUUGGACAAUGGGGGGAACCCUGAUCCAGCCAUGUCGCGUGUGUGAAGAAGGCCCUCGGGUUGUAAAGCACUUUCAGUGAGGAAGAACGCCUGGUGGUUAAUACCCAUCAGGAAAGACAUCACUCACAGAAGAAGCACCGGCUAACUCCGUGCCAGCAGCCGCGGUAAUACGGAGGGUGCGAGCGUUAAUCGGAAUUACUGGGCGUAAAGCGCGCGUAGGUGGCUUGAUAAGCCGGUUGUGAAAGCCCCGGGCUCAACCUGGGAACGGCAUCCGGAACUGUCAAGCUAGAGUGCAGGAGAGGAAGGUAGAAUUCCCGGUGUAGCGGUGAAAUGCGUAGAGAUCGGGAGGAAUACCAGUGGCGAAGGCGGCCUUCUGGACUGACACUGACACUGAGGUGCGAAAGCGUGGGUAGCAAACAGGAUUAGAUACCCGUGUAGUC